RNAcentral lists this long non-coding RNA (694 nucleotides) under Mus caroli (Ryukyu mouse). Its description in RNAcentral is "lncRNA (MGP_CAROLIEiJ_G0004571.1)". Lineage: Eukaryota; Metazoa; Chordata; Mammalia; Rodentia; Muridae. The record is from RNAcentral.
CUCUUUCUGCCAAUGGCGGUUGGAACCAGCUCACGAAGAGCUGCUCUUUCCUGCUCUUCCCAGUGGGCAGCAGGGGUCCCAGAUGAAUCUGCCAGUCAACUCUUGGGAUGGGAAAUCAGAUCGAGGCUGGUGGGGUGGCUUGUAGGAACGCAGAGAGGUGAGGCUGCCACGCCCACUUGUCAACCGCUAAAGCUUAAUUGGGCCAGAAAUACUCUCCGGUUCCUGCUUCUGCAAGACAGAUCUCAGCUGUCACCAAGCAUCUGUGGCAUCCGGAAGGGACGAGCAGAGUUCUGUGGGCUGGAAGCUUGGAGAACAGAUGUCCCUCGUCUGUGCCAGUUAUGCACAGAGUGCCCAGUCUUAGCACUCCAGAAGCCCAGUGGAAAGCCAAUGAAGGCACUUGGAAGUUUGAGGCCCCAAGAUGGAAACCAAAUUGUCAGUUUUCUUCACUCAUAGACAGCUGCCUUGGCACUUGGGGAUGAAGCAAUGAAUGGUCCCUGAGCCCAGCCCACAGGCUUGCUGACAAGGUGACCAGCCCAGCACCGAGAAGCAGGCGCCCCAAGUGAAGCCCCAAGUCAGAUCAGCUUGUGGAGAAGAGUGUGAAACUGGCCAGUGCUUUCACUUCUCUCAGCCCCACGAUGGACUCAUAAACACAGAGUAUGUGCAGGGAAAUGAGGAAGGCAGCCUGAGGAAGCUU